Molecule: ribosomal RNA, 254 nt
Filed under: Rugamonas aquatica
Lineage: Bacteria; Pseudomonadati; Pseudomonadota; Betaproteobacteria; Burkholderiales; Oxalobacteraceae
Description: partial 16S ribosomal RNA
Rfam family: Bacterial small subunit ribosomal RNA
Source: RNAcentral
GGUCCAGACUCCUACGGGAGGCAGCAGUGGGGAAUUUUGGACAAUGGGCGCAAGCCUGAUCCAGCAAUGCCGCGUGAGUGAAGAAGGCCUUCGGGUUGUAAAGCUCUUUUGUCAGGGAAGAAACGGUCUGCUCUAAUACAGCGGGCUAAUGACGGUACCUGAAGAAUAAGCACCGGCUAACUACGUGCCAGCAGCCGCGGUAAUACGUAGGGUGCAAGCGUUAAUCGGAAUUACUGGGCGUAAAGCGUGCGCAG